This 75-nucleotide transfer RNA is filed under the name Triticum aestivum (bread wheat). It matches the Rfam family "tRNA". From Rfam's summary of the family: Transfer RNA (tRNA) molecules are approximately 80 nucleotides in length. Their secondary structure includes four short double-helical elements and three loops (D, anti-codon, and T loops). RNAcentral also lists the same sequence under 1 other name. The record is from Rfam by way of RNAcentral. Lineage: Eukaryota; Viridiplantae; Streptophyta; Magnoliopsida; Poales; Poaceae.
CGAGGUGUAGCGCAGUCUGGUCAGGGCAUCUGUUUUGGGUAUAGAGGGCCAUAGGUUCGAAUCUUGUCACCUUGA